GACGAACGCUGGCGGCGUGCUUAACACAUGCAAGUCGAACGGAAAGGCCCUGCUUUUGUGGGGAGCUCGAGUGGCGAACGGGUGAGUAACACGUGAGUAACCUGCCCUUGACUUUGGGAUAACUUCAGGAAACUGGGGCUAAUACCGGAUAGGAGCUCCUGCUGCAUGGUGGGGGUUGGAAAGUUUCGGCGGUUGGGGAUGGACUCGCGGCUUAUCAGCUUGUUGGUGGGGUAGUGGCUUACCAAGGCUUUGACGGGUAGCCGGCCUGAGAGGGUGACCGGCCACAUUGGGACUGAGAUACGGCCCAGACUCCUACGGGGGGCAGCAGUGGGGAAUAUUGCACAAUGGGCGGAAGCCUGAUGCAGCAACGCCGCGUGCGGGAUGACGGCCUUCGGGUUGUAAACCGCUUUCGCCUGUGACGAAGCGUGAGUGACGGUAAUGGGUAAAGAAGCACCGGCUAACUACGUG
Molecule: ribosomal RNA, 468 nt
Filed under: uncultured bacterium
Lineage: Bacteria
Description: partial 16S ribosomal RNA
Rfam family: Bacterial small subunit ribosomal RNA
Source: RNAcentral